RNAcentral lists this ribosomal RNA (253 nucleotides) under uncultured bacterium. RNAcentral describes it as "partial 16S ribosomal RNA". It matches the Rfam family "Bacterial small subunit ribosomal RNA", at positions 524 to 776 of the family's 1533-position model. The record is from RNAcentral.
UACGUAUGGUGCAAGCGUUAUCCGGAUUUACUGGGCGUAAAGGGAGCGCAGGCGGCGCGCCAAGUCUGAUGUGAAACCCCGGGGCUCAACCCCGGGCAUGCAUUGGAAACUGGCGGGCUGGAGUGCCGGAGAGGUAAGCGGAAUUCCUAGUGUAGCGGUGAAAUGCGUAGAUAUUAGGAGGAACACCUGUGGCGAAGGCGGCUUACUGGACGGCAACUGACGCUGAGGCUCGAAAGCGUGGGGAGCAAACAGG